RNAcentral lists this long non-coding RNA (1525 nucleotides) under Sinocyclocheilus anshuiensis. RNAcentral describes it as "lncRNA (ENSSANG00000005353.1)". The record is from RNAcentral. Lineage: Eukaryota; Metazoa; Chordata; Actinopteri; Cypriniformes; Cyprinidae.
GCUGAACGCCCAUUCCAGCCCUUGUGAUUUCCAACUGGACGCUUUGAAACCUUUUAUGGGCGGUACUCCGAUGUAAAAUCAGUCUGCUUGCUUGGUUGGUGAAACGUCAUAUGGAAAUAAUUUCAGCGGCUAAGCCCCUCCCACCAUAGUUGAGCUGCUCGUCUGCUGUGUUGAUACCGAACAAAAUGGCUGCAGAGGCUUGAUCCUGACCCGAUCUCAGCGCUUUCUCCGGACACUCCGCACUUAUUCCUGGAUAUUUCCACUGUCGUUUUAAAAACAUCUCUGGAUUUCUCCACACGACUUCAGCCAGGCUGCUCACCACAUCGCUCGCUAUCUUUAUUUUUGCACUUUAAUGAAGCAGUUUGCAUCGCAUAAUCUCAUGUCAGUCUACCAGACAGUAGCAGCUUUAAACUGCCCUCUUCUUCGUUUUGCACACGACUGCAGCCAGGCUGCUCACCACAUCGCUCGCUAUCUUUAUUUUUGCACUUUAAUGAAGCAGCUUGCAUCGCAUAAUCUCAUGUCAGUCUACCAGACAGUAGCAGCUUUAAACUGCCCUCUUCUUCGUUUUGCGUUGUAGACGAGAUGCUAUUUCUGAUGACCAAUUUAUGCCACUGUACUUGACAAACUGCCUCGCCGUUUUAAUGUAUUAUUUUCUGUCUUUUCGAGGGUAUUUCGUAGCGUAUAUGUCAUGGAAAUGUCAUCUGCUGUUUUUUCCAGCAUGUAUGCAUCCAUAAUCUCCAUCAGAGCCCAAAGCUCUGAGUCUGCAUAGAAAUUUCCCGACAGUCCUUUUCCUUUUCCCUUUGCAUAUUGAAUUUUGUGUUUAUUUCCGUUCUGCUGCCUUUUUGGGACACUUUCGGAAUUUCAGCUGCUCAUUCAACACAGUGUUAAUUGAGUCUGUCUGUUUUUACGGGUACCCUUUUUUUCCGCAAAAAAGGCCUUUUGUACCGCUGUACAAACAUGCAACACUUUUUUACUGAAAGCCGCCAAAGCUCGACUUGUGAACAAAAAGUUGAGGAUCCUAGCUCUCAGAAGGAAACCACAGAGAGUCUUGACAAGAGGUUGUCCACCUGUGAGAGCUCGAGCUUGAGUUGGCCUGCCCGGACAUUGACACCGACACCACCAGAAUCAGUUCCAUCACCUCCGAGUGUACCCCGGUGUAAACACAUCGGCCCUGGUAGAGAUACAGGCAGCUGAUGAGAGGCAGCAGGAGUGGUUGGAGAGGAUGGAGGACCAUCGUCACCGGCACUUUGAGAUGAUGCUGGAGGAUGCCCAUGAGGCAAGGCAGCAUGAGGCUGAAGUCACUCGGCAACACAUGGAGCAGUCUGCAAGGUUCGAUCAGGCCUUCCUCUGCACACUCAGUCAGCUGGUGCAGGUGUUGAGUAGUCACCGUGACCCUGUGCCACCAUCCAGCCACUAGUGCUUUGCACACAGCGCAAGACUUAACACUUAUUUGACACUUUUUGUUUGCACAAAACUGUUUUUCUGUUGUUGCACAGCACAUUGUAUUUUAAGCAUUUGUUUGACU